GGAGAAGUGACACAGUUUAAACAUGAACAUUGUGGAACUAAUUUGUAUAAUCGGAACUACUUUCGUGUCAGUCAUUUGUGUUUGUCCUAACGGAUGGGUUAGACAUGGAUCAUCUUGUGUUCAAGUCAGUCCUGAAGCUCUGAACUUGCCAGAAGCAGAUACGCCAUCUCUUGGAUCUGUGCAAUGGAGCCAUACAGAAGUGAUAUUUUGUAUCGUUAUAGUUACUAUGGUAACCACUGCGGUUGCAAUGAUAAUAAGAAGGAAGUGUUUUAAACGGUCCUUUAUUAAGAGAGGACAAUGAAAAAAUGAAUCUGUUAUGAAGACCUACUGUGAUAUACAAAAGACAACGAUCUAUUUACGUAAUCUGAUCUUGUGUGCUUUCUUGACCUGUUUGGCGACUGGAAUGAAAUUAGAAAUUUAUAAAUUUAUAGCUACCAAAAUGCAAAAUAAA
This is a long non-coding RNA of Mercenaria mercenaria, 451 nucleotides long. RefSeq lists it as uncharacterized. The record is from RefSeq and is a predicted model, not a curated record. The transcript is spliced from 3 exons. NCBI's taxonomy places the organism in Eukaryota, Metazoa, Mollusca, Bivalvia, Venerida, Veneridae.